This 474-nucleotide ribosomal RNA is filed under the name uncultured bacterium. RNAcentral describes it as "bacterial SSU rRNA". It matches the Rfam family "Bacterial small subunit ribosomal RNA", at positions 915 to 1391 of the family's 1533-position model. The record is from RNAcentral.
GGGGGCCCGCAAGCGGUGGAGCAUGUGGUUUAAUUCGAUGCAACGCGAAGAACCUUACCUACUCUUGACAUCCAGCGAACUUAGCAGAGAUGCUUUGGUGCCUUCGGGAACGCUGAGACAGGUGCUGCACGGCUGUCGUCAGCUCGUGUUGUGAAAUGUUGGGUUAAGUCCCGCAACGAGCGCAACCCUUAUCCUUUGUUGCCAGCGAUUCGGUCGGGAACUCAAAGGAGACUGCCGGUGAUAAACCGGAGGAAGGUGGGGAUGACGUCAAGUCAUCAUGGCCCUUACGAGUAGGGCUACACACGUGCUACAAUGGCGCAUACAAAGAGAAGGGACCUCGCGAGAGCAAGCGGACCUCACAAAGUGCGUCGUAGUCCGGAUCGGAGUCUGCAACUCGACUCCGUGAAGUCGGAAUCGCUAGUAAUCGUGGAUCAGAAUGCCACGGUGAAUACGUUCCCGGGCCUUGUACACACC